UACAGAGGGGGCAAGCGUUGUUCGGAAUUACUGGGCGUAAAGGGCGCGUAGGCGGCCUGCUAAGUCGAACGUGAAAUCCCUGGGCUCAACCCAGGAACUGCGUCCGAUACUGGUUGGCUUGAAUCCGGGAGAGGGAUGUGGAAUUCCAGGUGUAGCGGUGAAAUGCGUAGAUAUCUGGAGGAACACCGGUGGCGAAGGCGACAUCCUGGACCGGCAUUGACGCUGAGGCGCGAAAGCGUGGGGAGCGAACAGG
This 253-nucleotide ribosomal RNA is filed under the name uncultured bacterium. Its description in RNAcentral is "partial 16S ribosomal RNA". It matches the Rfam family "Bacterial small subunit ribosomal RNA", at positions 524 to 776 of the family's 1533-position model. The record is from RNAcentral.